UGCGAUACUUGGUGUGAAUUGCAGAAUCCCGUGAACCAUCGAGUCUUUGAACGCAAGUUGCGCCCAAAGCCAUUAGGCUGAGGGCACGCCUGCCUGGGUGUCACACAUCGUCACCCCCCCGCCCGCCACACUUAACUAAUUAAAUGUGUGCAGCAGGGGGUGGUGGAAGUUGACCUCCCGCGAGACGUCCUCGUGGUUGGUUGAAAAGCAAGUUCGGGACGGAGUCUCCCGCGAUAUCGGUGGAUGAGCCCACGCUCGAGACCAAUCGUGGCUUUGGGACUCCGGACGUAAUGGACUUACUGACCCCACACGCGCCCUCUGUGCGCCAUCUACGAGACCUCAGGUCAGGCGGGGCUACCCGCUGAGUUUAAGCAUAUCAAUAAGCGGAGGA
RNAcentral lists this ribosomal RNA (391 nucleotides) under Phaseolus lunatus (lima bean). RNAcentral's name for it is "eukaryotic LSU rRNA". The stretch from base 1 to 103 matches the Rfam family "5.8S ribosomal RNA", at positions 54 to 154 of the family's 154-position model. Lineage: Eukaryota; Viridiplantae; Streptophyta; Magnoliopsida; Fabales; Fabaceae. The record is from RNAcentral.